Molecule: ribosomal RNA, 253 nt
Filed under: uncultured bacterium
Lineage: Bacteria
Description: partial 16S ribosomal RNA
Rfam family: Bacterial small subunit ribosomal RNA
Source: RNAcentral
UACAGAGACCUCAAGCGUUAUCCGGAAUUACUGGGCGUAAAGCGUGAGCAGCCGGUUGUGUUAGUCUGUCGUUAAAUCUUAUGGCUUAACUGUAAGACCGCGAUGGAAACGGCACGACUCGAGCGGGUGAGAGGUAUGCGGAACGUGCAGUGUAGGGGUGAAAUCCAUUGAUAUUGCACGGAACACCAAAAGCGAAGGCAGCAUACUAGCGCUCUGCUGACGGUCAAUCACGAAAGCGUGGGGAUCAAAAAGG